Molecule: long non-coding RNA, 4433 nt
Filed under: Podarcis lilfordi (Lilford's wall lizard)
Lineage: Eukaryota; Metazoa; Chordata; Lepidosauria; Squamata; Lacertidae
Source: RNAcentral
GGGAGUUUAAAGCGGUUCUGAACCGAAGAUGCAAAGAGUGAUGAGAAGCCAGUUGGCUGGUUACAGAGAGCUACUGGCCAUUCCCUGUGGGGCUUGUCUUGUCUGGAUAGUUUUCUUUGAAUGGCUAAUCCUCAGUACUUUUCCAGUAACCUUGGAACUUGGGGGGUUCGGCUUGCAUAUGUAUUGCUCAGAGUAAGCCCAUUGAAAUGAAUGGACUCGAGAUAGUCACGUCCAUAAAUUUCAGUGGGUUUCCUCUGAGGAGGGCUAAUGUUUGAUACAGCCCUGAGAGCCAAUGGUGCAACCGUUGGAUCUUGUCCGAAGGAUAAUAGACACAGCUCGCCGGCUUCUUUUGUGGAGACCCAACUUUUGACCCUGGCCUGACACCCAGGAAAUGUUUGUCGUUCCAAACCGGUGAUCAUCCUCCUGCCAAAAUGUUUGCAACUGAGAAGCCUGCUCUGGAAACCAAAAUCAGUUUGCAAGAAUCCCAAUUCCCGCCAGUCCCAUGGUGGCAGAUGACGUUUCGGCAACAUCUGGAUGGGGAAGGUGGCAUUCAUUCCCCCCCAGGGCACCCUGCUUUGUCGCCAGCUAGCUCCUGCUCAGAGUAGACUCGUUGAAAUGAAUGGACCGAAAGUUAUCCAUGUUUAUUAAUUUCAGUGGUAUCAAAGUAAGAUACUUUUGAGUAGGACUAACAUUGAACACAACCCCCGCAUACAGCGGUACCUCGGAAGUUGAACGGAAUCCGUUCCGGAAGUCCGUUUGACUUCCAAAACGUCCGGGAACCAAGGCGCGGCUUCCGAUUGGCUGCAGGAGUUUCCUGCAGCCAAUCGGAAGCCCCGCCGGAUGUUUGGGUUCCAAAGAACAUUCGCAAACCGGAACACUCGCUUCCGGGUUUGCAGCCAAAACGUUCGACUCGCAAGGUGUCUUGGAGCAAGAUACGACUGUAUACGUCAGAGGUGAGGAAUCUUUGGCCUCGCACAUCUUGCCGAAAUGGAACUCCUUUCAGCUCCAAUGCCCAGAGUUUCCCAACCCCUUGCCAUGUUGCCGGAGUUGUGACAUUUUUGCGGGGGAAGGGUUUAAACACACAAACCAUUCUCAGGAUCAGAUCUGUGUGCAUUGGGACUUUGGCUUUUUUUGGUACGUGGUUGUGAUUGUAGGCAGGAGGUCUGGGUAGCAAAAGAACAACAACACGCCAUGGAUUUGCCUUCAGGGGUAAAGAUUAAAACUUAAGACGUGACCCUUAAAGCACAUUUCCAAAUUAUAUGUUUAAGGCUUCUUUCUUUUUUUAAAAGCCGCCUCCUCUGCACUGUCUUCUGGUCAUAUCCGCACCCUGCGUUGAAAGCACAAGAAUUCUGGGAACUGUAGUUCAUUGCUCGCAGGGCUGUCGUUCCUAGUUCCCUUAGGAAACUACAACUCCCAGGAUUCUUUGGGAGAAGCCACUUUUUUUAAUGCCUACCCAUGUGGACGCGAUCGGAGUUUAAGGACUCCUGCACACCGUACAUCCUCCUUUUCAAAAUCCGGGCAAAUAUCAGCUGCUGGUGUGUCUCCUACCUGCUUUUUUGACCAGAAGAAAGACCUCACCAGUCUUGAGCAUGCAUGCUGUUUAAAAAAAUCCCUAAAGCCAAUAGCUGUAUACUUCAAUGAUUUCCAAAACAAUUUUUUAAAAGCAUGGAUUUUGGCAGGGUGAUUUGGCUAUGCAACGCCUGCGAAGCUAGUUGCUCACUGCGUCAAAGUCAACUUGUAAUGACUCUGUGCCGUCUGAAAAAUCCGGCUAUCUCAAUCGGCUUGGCUUCCAUUGAUGCGGAGCAGAAUCCAUUGGAAACUGCCCUGGACACGCAAUUCCCCGAGGUGUCAAGUGGUGGUUGCAAAGUGGCUCAGCAGCCCUUGGCAGAUGAGUCAAUGUUUGCGUAGACUGGUUUAUUAAACUCUUCCAGCUGAGGUUACUACCGAUGUUCCACAACUCCCAUUGCAACCCAAAGCACAAUGGGUUGCGUCCAUGUUAGUCCGACUCAGAGCAGACUCACUGAUGAACCAGAGGCUCAAUUUAUUCCAUUGGGUCUACUCUGAACUGGCUACAGCCCAGUAUCUCCAGGCGUGUCGCCUUGUUCAGGAUUCUCUUCCCAGAUCUUCCCAAAAAAACAGACCGCGAAAUGUGCUUCGUGGAUCGCAUGAGAGAACAGGGCGGUUGUCUUCCAUGGGUGGGGUUGAGGAACGACUUCCCUUCCUUGACCCGAUCCGAGCUAACUGCAAACCACCGCUGCUCAUCGAGUUGUCCUCACAUUUCCCAGCGGGCAAGAAUACUUGCAUCAGCAACAGCGGCCUGCUCUCAACCCAGCCCAAGCCACAACGGCCAGCCGUCCCCCUAAAUCAGGGAGGAGAGAAAACAGAGGCCGGUUGUCACUGGACUACAACUCCCAUGAUCUCUGGCCAUCGGCCGAUUCCUUUUCAACUAUCCUCAGCACCCCUCUCCUGGUCAAACUCCAUAGGAGAUAAGUUAGGAAGUAAAACCUGAUGGGCGUGCAGAAGGAGGGAUGGGUGAUUGGGACUGAAGACAUUGACUAGCCUGUAGUUGACCCCUUUCGUCUCUGGGAAAAACAACAACUUCUGAGCUUGGGAAAAGUCUCUUUUCUUCUUCUAGCGCGUUACCAAGCCAUUUGAUUCUUCCUGAUGUGCUCCGAUGAGCUCAGGGAAGAAGGAAGCCAUUUUUCUUCGGUGCCUCCUGUCUUCGUUCCAACCAGUUCUUGCUGGUUUUGCACCAGUUUGCAGACCAAGUGGUCGUGGCCCAUCGUGGUAGUGCUAUUGACCCCCUCGGUUCCUUUUCCCGGUAAAACUCCGGGCGUUUGGGGUGCAACCGCGGCCUAACGAGCGCCAUGUUCUUCACCGAAACUCCACCCGUGGCGAAUUCCUGAGGAAGAAAGAUGGAGCGAAAUCUCCAGUCGCGGUUUGUAGUUAAGGAACUUAAGCCAAAGCGAGAAGCGUUGGGAUAGGUGUGUUUUCUUAGCUUCGCUGAGAAAAACAACGGAUAAAAAGGUGCCUUCACGUAUUAAAGGUUUUUUUGGGGGGUUGAUGGGAGGGCUCGCAAAUGGACUGCAGCUCCAUAGUACGAAAAGGGUUUCCGUCGCGCCAAUAUGGGGUGGCCCGUUCUUCCUCAUGGCUCCACCGCCUUGAAACGUUAUUUUGGGGGGCUCUUAACCCCCAUAUUUACCUGUUGUGGAAUCUCUUCCUCCUCAGGAUUUGUGGGAGUCACAAAACGCCUCGGGGAAAAUCACCACGUCCUCCUUGUGAGAUGAAGUCCAGUUGGGCUAACUCCUGGAUUCUCCUUAAAAGAACGCAGAGGCGCGAAGAUGCUAUCCAAGAUUCUUGCUUCCUCUUUUGCAAAAAAAUAAUAAUUAAAAAAGGCUGCUCUCAGGGUCUCUUGGUUUGUGAGCUGUUGAAACCAGCUUGAAACUGGUUUCGGAUGCCCUCCCUUGCCCCUGCCCAAAGGACCCCUUCACCCCACCCCAAAUCCCAUGUUAUCUCAGUUAUGCAUCAAUUGCCCCAGCAAUGCGUCUUGUUCAUUAAGACAUGCUUUUAUAGUUGGCCUUUUCUUUCCAGAGGGGGGAAAUGCCUGAAACGAAAGAUUUCUCUUCUUCCCUGCAAAAAAACAACACAAAACAUCUUUGCCAUCUCUCAGAAACUUGUUCAGCGGCUUGUUCGUAUAUUUGCGUGCUUGCUUCCUUUUCUACAGUCGUUUCGGACAUAAUUUUACCCCUCUCAGUUCUUGAAUUCGCUCUUCCCUGCAAUAAUUUCGCAGGCUUCCCCCCACCCCUCCUGCUCCAAAUCAUUUUUUUUUUCUAAGUUGGCAUUGAGAAUCCUGUGGAUACAGGACCCUGGGUCAGAUUCUGCUUCGCUGUGAAGUUUCUCCUCUUAAUGCUCCUUUUAGUCUCUUCUGCUUUUUGCUCUCUCUGUCUCUCCCCCACCGCUUUAUUCUUCCUCCUCCUCUUCUUCUUCUUCUUCUUCUUCUUCUUCUUCUUCUUCUUCUUCUUCUUCACAUCUUUCUCAGCUGCUGUUCGAACCCUUGCUAUGAGGGUAGAUAAAUUCAGGAAGGGUUGAGGAUUACGUAGGGAGAUUUUAGCAUUUUCUCAUAUUAAUAUAUAUAUUUUUAAAAGAAUUAAUAGUCACCCAGGUUACGUAUCCGACACUAAUUUCAGGCUUGUGGGGGAGGGGGAGAGAGAGAGAGAGAGAUUCUCUUUCCCUGGAUGUUUUCGUUUUUUUGUUUUAAAUAGAAUUUACACACACAGAAAACAAAACACAAAAAAAAGUUCCAUUUGAAUUUCUUCUAUUCUUCAGGAUUGGUUGUUGACUAAAAAUUGAAUCAAUUGUAUGUUCUUUUUCCAUAUAUUGUACUGUAAUAGAGAACUGUUAAUUUUUUGCACUAAUAGAUUUCUUUUCUCUCG